Cynara cardunculus var. scolymus (artichoke) is the source of this 2214-nucleotide RNA transcript. It is a transcript of the gene named F-box/LRR-repeat protein At5g63520, with no coding region annotated. The record is from RefSeq and is a predicted model, not a curated record. The transcript is spliced from 12 exons. Lineage: Eukaryota; Viridiplantae; Streptophyta; Magnoliopsida; Asterales; Asteraceae.
AAGCAGCACAAUCCGGAAUGGCGUCGCCGUCGCCAUCGCCAUCGCCGUCGCGGCCGUGCGGAGUUGCAGCAACUAUUGAUUUCAUCGGCGAAGACCUCCUUCAAAACAUAGUCGCCAGACUGCCGGCCUUUUCAUUCGCCUCCGCCGCUUGCGUUAGCCGCUCUUGGAACCUCGUUUGCGAUCGCGUCCUUUGUCGCCCCAAACUCUCCUCCGCUUGUUCCUUCAAUUUUUCUCUCCAUGUUGCUGUAGAAGAAGUGUUUAACAAAGCACUAUCGGAGCCAAUUCGGCCUCAUUUUGCCAUUGCUUCUAUCGGUCCUUCGUUCGAUUUGCAGCAGGCUCAUCAACUCAUUACAGCAAAACUAGGCUCCAAAGUUCCAGUGAUUACUAAUGUUCCCUCUGGAAUUAUUGGAAGGGAUGCCAUUUCCGACGAAUUCAAAGAGAUUCAGUGGGAAAUUACUGAGGAGGAUGAUGAUCCGGGUGUUCCUCUACUUCAACCUGAGAGUGCAAAUAGAGCAAUCAUGUUGAUUGUUGGAUUUCUACCUGGGAUGAAAGUCGAAGCAAUCCCACUUCUAAAGCAAAUUGCGGAACCACAAGUUGUCAUGAUUGACAGAUUUAUGAUGGACAUUAGGGAGUACUCAACUUCUAUUUCUGGAUGUAGAUCCCCUGCUGCCAUAAUAAUGUUUAGUACCUUCGAAGCAGGCAUGAAAUCUACUGUAGAAAAGAUGGAUUAUGGUAUGUCACGGGAUACUGUCAUUGUCGGGGAUACUGCUUGCCAGUUCCUCUUUAGUAAUGAAAGUUCAAGGAACACAACCACCAUGGAAGAACACAGUUCUUCAGCAGUUGCCUUGGUAUUUGCAGUGGACAAGAACAAGCCUCGUGGUACGGGAGAAACUCAAUUUAAAGCUGUAUUAUCAACCGGGUUGUCACCCGUAGGCCCGACGUACAAGGCGGCAUCCGUCAGAGAGAAACAUCGUGAUUCUUUGACUUGGAUCACUGCAAGAAGAGAAGGGUUACGUGAGAAUAUCGAUGGUGAAACUAUUAUGAAUCAAGUUUAUGACGAACUAGGAGACCGAAUCCAGUUUCCUACUUUUUACAUUGGUGUAACAAAAAGAAGAAAAUGUUCCAUUGGGCAGGAUAAAGUGGGGUGGAUGACCUCCUUAGCAUUCCAUGAGGUUCUCGGGGAUAACCAGGAGUAUCUUUUUGUUGGUGAUGUUGGCAUCAAAACAGGCGAUUCCUUUCGCUUUUACCACUCAGAUUCCAGCAUCGCUCUAUCUUCAAACGCCACCGUUUCUGAACGUUUGAGAUGUUUAAAGCAAGGGAGCACGACCGGAGGUGAUACAAGGGAAGUGUUUGGGGGGCUCGUUUUCACUUGUUGUGGUCGGGGUGAGUCGUUCUUCGGCCAACCAAAUGUUGACAGCUCGCCAUUUUUGGACGUCUUCCCUGGUGUGACGUUUGCAGGGACAUUCUGUGGCGGGGAAAUCGGACGUGGUGAUGUAAACCCUUAUAUUAAAGAAUCUCAAGAGCAAAAGUCGGUAUGGUGUUGCCUGCACGUAUACAGCGCUGUCUACUUAGUCAUGUCUUACACUUCAUCGAAAGGGAGUUAAGAUGUUCACGUGUUGGAUUUUGGUCAGAAACAAGUUUGUACUAGUGAUGUGGGGGACCGGGCCUUGUUAUGGGAAGCCCAUUAUCAGGCGAACAGAAAGUGACACGCUUAAUCAUGCAUAACUUUUAUUACGGGUCUCCAUUUCAGGCCAACGAUACAUCGAUUCAAAGCUUAGGAGCAAGGGCCUACGGGAUUUUUGAGACCAAAAAACGUCCUUUAAACAUGUUUCAGGAUUCUUUCGUCUUUUUUAGGGUGGGAGAACAAUGGUCUUAAGGCCACUGAUUUGACAUUGCCACCGCAAACACGAUGCUCGUUGCUGACGUUGGGUAAAAGUUUGUUUCGGCUAAGGAUCGGAGUUUUUUCUUCUUGUUGAACCGGGCUCCGAAUGACCGGAUUUAAUCGAUCUGUGUGCAUCUCUACUUGUAACAAAAACAAAAAAUAGUAUGCAAAACAUUACUUUGAAGUAAGUUUCAUUUAAAGGCUAGGUCUUUGAGCUCCAUCCAAUGGAUUAUCAGUUUGAGUCGCCUCAGGCUCAGGGUAAUCGGGAUUUUCCUGAUUGUUAUCUUUAAGAUGAUAUGAAAUUAGUCGAGGUGUGCAUAAACUGAUCAAGA